RNAcentral lists this ribosomal RNA (616 nucleotides) under Lentzea waywayandensis. RNAcentral describes it as "bacterial SSU rRNA". It matches the Rfam family "Bacterial small subunit ribosomal RNA", at positions 68 to 701 of the family's 1533-position model. The record is from RNAcentral. Lineage: Bacteria; Bacillati; Actinomycetota; Actinomycetes; Pseudonocardiales; Pseudonocardiaceae.
GGUAAGGCCCUUCGGGGUACACGAGCGGCGAACGGGUGAGUAACACGUGGGUAACCUGCCCUGUACUCUGGGAUAAGCCUUGGAAACGAGGUCUAAUACCGGAUACGACCACUGAAUGCAUGUUCGGUGGUGGAAAGUUCCGGCGGUAUGGGAUGGACCCGCGGCCUAUCAGCUUGUUGGUGGGGUAAUGGCCUACCAAGGCGACGACGGGUAGCCGGCCUGAGAGGGUGACCGGCCACACUGGGACUGAGACACGGCCCAGACUCCUACGGGAGGCAGCAGUGGGGAAUAUUGCACAAUGGGCGAAAGCCUGAUGCAGCGACGCCGCGUGAGGGAUGACGGCCUUCGGGUUGUAAACCUCUUUCAGCAGGGACGAAGCGCAAGUGACGGUACCUGCAGAAGAAGCACCGGCUAACUACGUGCCAGCAGCCGCGGUAAUACGUAGGGUGCGAGCGUUGUCCGGAAUUAUUGGGCGUAAAGAGCUCGUAGGCGGUUUGUCGCGUCGGCCGUGAAAACUUGGGGCUUAACUCCAAGCUUGCGGUCGAUACGGGCAGACUUGAGUUCGGCAGGGGAGACUGGAAUUCCUGGUGUAGCGGUGAAAUGCGCAGAUAUCAGG